AUGGAUAUGAGGAUCCUUUCCCCAAAUGAUCGACCAUGAUUAUACUAUGCGCAACUGUAAUCCCAUCGGGAUUCAAAGCCAGAAAUCUGAUCCAU
Molecule: non-coding RNA, 95 nt
Organism: Hordeum vulgare subsp. vulgare (domesticated barley)
Lineage: Eukaryota; Viridiplantae; Streptophyta; Magnoliopsida; Poales; Poaceae
Source: Rfam